Molecule: ribosomal RNA, 301 nt
Filed under: uncultured bacterium
Lineage: Bacteria
Description: partial 16S ribosomal RNA
Rfam family: Bacterial small subunit ribosomal RNA
Source: RNAcentral
CAGUCGCCGCGGUAAUACGGAGGGUGCGAGCGUUAAUCGGAAUAACUGGGCGUAAAGGGCACGCAGGCGGUGACUUAAGUGAGGUGUGAAAGCCCCGGGCUUAACCUGGGAAUUGCAUUUCAUACUGGGUCGCUAGAGUACUUUAGGGAGGUGUAGAAUUCCACGUGUAGCGGUGAAAUGCGUAGAGAUGUGGAGGAAUACCGAAGGCGAAGGCAGCCCCUUGGGAAUGUACUGACGCUCAUGUGCGAAAGCGUGGGGAGCAAACAGGAUUAGAUACCCGAGUAGUCCCUGUCUCUUAUAU